UACGAAGGGGCGUAGCGUUGUUCGGAAUCACUGGGCGGUAAAGACGCACGUAGGCGGACUUUUAAGUUCAGGGGUGGAAAUACCCGGGGCCGUCAACCCCGGAACCUGCCUUUGUAUACUGGAAGUCUUGAGUCCGAGAGAGGUGAGUGGAACUCCGAGUGUAGAGGUGAAAUUCGUAGAUAUUCGGAAGAACACCAGUGGCGAAGGCGGCUCACUGGCUCGGUACUGACGCUGAGGUGCGAAAGCGUGGGGAGCAAACAGGAUUAGAUACCCGGGUAGU
Molecule: ribosomal RNA, 280 nt
Filed under: uncultured bacterium
Lineage: Bacteria
Description: partial 16S ribosomal RNA
Rfam family: Bacterial small subunit ribosomal RNA
Source: RNAcentral